GCUGGGUGUGGUGGUGCAGGCCUUUAAUCCCAGCACUUGGGAGGCAGAGGCAGGUGGAUCACUGUGAGUUUGAAGCCAGCCUGGUCUACAUAGCAGUUCCAGACCAGCUGGGGCUACAGGAAGACCCUGUCCGGAAAGAAAGAAAGAGAAAGAAAAUGGUUUCCCUAUAGCCCCAGCUGGCUUGGAACUCCCUAUGUAGACCAGGCUGACCCGAAUCUCCCAGAGAUCUGCCUGCCUCU
This 239-nucleotide small RNA is filed under the name Nannospalax galili (Upper Galilee mountains blind mole rat). RNAcentral's name for it is "Metazoan signal recognition particle RNA (ENSNGAG00000003202.1)". The record is from RNAcentral. Lineage: Eukaryota; Metazoa; Chordata; Mammalia; Rodentia; Spalacidae.